Molecule: ribosomal RNA, 279 nt
Filed under: uncultured bacterium
Lineage: Bacteria
Description: partial 16S ribosomal RNA
Rfam family: Bacterial small subunit ribosomal RNA
Source: RNAcentral
UGCCAGCAGCCGCGGUAAGACGAACCGGACGAACGUUAUUCGGAAUUACUGGGCUUAAAGAGUGCGUAGGCGGCUUUGUAGGUGAGGUGUGAAAUCCCACGGCUCAACCGUGGAACUGCGCUUCAAACCACAAGGCUUGAGGGAGGCAGAGGUAAGCGGAACUGAUGGUGGAGCGGUGAAAUGCGUUGAUAUCAUCAGGAACACCAGUGGCGAAGGCGGCUUACUGGGCCUCUUCUGACGCUGAGGCACGAAAGCUAGGGUAGCGAACGGGAUUAGAUA